GUAGAAAUAGUUUAACCAAAACAUUAGAUUGUGAUUCUAAAAAUAAAGAUUAAAACCCUUUUUUCCACC
Cynoglossus semilaevis (tongue sole) is the source of this 69-nucleotide non-coding RNA. NCBI's taxonomy places the organism in Eukaryota, Metazoa, Chordata, Actinopteri, Pleuronectiformes, Cynoglossidae. The record is from Ensembl.